AGUUGUUCUCAGUUCGGAUUGUAGUCUGCAACUCGACUACAUGAAGCUGGAAUCGCUAGUAAUCGUAGAUCAGCAUGCUACGGUGAAUACGUUCCCGGGUCUUGUACACACCGCCCGUCACACCACGAGAGUUUGUAACACCCGAAGCCGGUGGAGUAACCUUUUAGGAGCUAGCCGUCGAAGGUGGGACAAAUGAUUGGGGUGAAGUCGUAACAAGGUAGCCGUAUCGGAAGGUGCGGCUGGAUCA
Molecule: ribosomal RNA, 247 nt
Filed under: Staphylococcus aureus
Lineage: Bacteria; Bacillati; Bacillota; Bacilli; Caryophanales; Staphylococcaceae
Description: partial 16S ribosomal RNA
Rfam family: Bacterial small subunit ribosomal RNA
Source: RNAcentral